UUUUCAGGAAAGGAUGGCAGGUGGUGCCGCGGUGAACACUCCCAACACAUGCAGGAGGAAACAGCGGCGGGAGCUUUUUCCUUCCUCGCGGCCAGACGACGCGGACUGGCUUUUUCCUGCUCCUCCUGACACACUCACAGUUUACCGCGUCCUCCACUCCCUUCCACACAUCGCUAGCAGCAGCAAAGCAGUCCUACACCACCUAAGAGCACUAAUAUUACCACUAGUAUCAUCAUUACACAGCAUCAACAACAGUAGGAAUAGUAUUUUUGCUGUUGUAAUUUUUUCCAUCGGUAAUGAUACUGAUAGAGAGAUGUGUAAUGUGAGUAAUGAUAUUCCUGAUUAUUUCAGUGAUACUGCAUGGAAUAUUAAUGACUAUAACGACACCUCCUCCUGCCAGCAUAAUAAUAGUGAUGGUAAUUGUAAUAGUAAUGACAGUGAUGAUGAUGAUACCAACAGCAAUAGUGGUGGUGGUGGUGGUGGUGGUGGUGGUGAUGAUGAUGGUGCAGCAGCGGAGAUGAGCAAGCAAACGAGCACGCGCAGAUGAAGAGAAGGACGGGGAAAAAGAAACUGACACGGCGAAAACAAGGAAGGACGAGGACGAACAAACAAGAUGCCGGUGACGAAGGUGAGGCGGAACAGAAAGGGUGAGAGGUACACAUAUAAGGAAACAUGGCACGACUUACCAUGCCCUCCUAUGCCACCCCCUCCUCCUCCUUGCCCGCCAAUUCCCACUCUAAAUUACAUUCCUCUUCCUUCGCAUAGACUGAGACAAGAAGUUUCUACAGAUGAUGGGCCUUAAAGGAGUUCAGAUUUUUUUGAGUGUGUGAGUGACAAGGAAUGAGUUUUGAAAGCGAGCAGGAAAAUAAAUGUAUGGUAUGUCA
Long non-coding RNA from Scylla paramamosain (green mud crab), 884 nucleotides. RefSeq lists it as uncharacterized. NCBI's taxonomy places the organism in Eukaryota, Metazoa, Arthropoda, Malacostraca, Decapoda, Portunidae. The record is from RefSeq and is a predicted model, not a curated record. The transcript has 3 exons.